AUCGUCUCGGUCGGCGGCGACGCGUUGCCGCCCUGAUGGGGCGGCGGCGGCGCGCCCGUCGUGCCAUACGUGUUCGGUUGCGUGCAGGCGCUC
This 93-nucleotide transfer RNA is filed under the name Burkholderia multivorans. RNAcentral describes it as "tRNA-Ile". Lineage: Bacteria; Pseudomonadati; Pseudomonadota; Betaproteobacteria; Burkholderiales; Burkholderiaceae. The record is from RNAcentral. RNAcentral also lists the same sequence under 1 other name.